RNAcentral lists this ribosomal RNA (691 nucleotides) under Escherichia coli. Its description in RNAcentral is "partial 23S ribosomal RNA". It matches the Rfam family "Bacterial large subunit ribosomal RNA", at positions 2108 to 2798 of the family's 2925-position model. Lineage: Bacteria; Pseudomonadati; Pseudomonadota; Gammaproteobacteria; Enterobacterales; Enterobacteriaceae. The record is from RNAcentral.
AGCUUGACACUGAACAUUGAGCCUUGAUGUGUAGGAUAGGUGGGAGGCUUUGAAGUGUGGACGCCAGUCUGCAUGGAGCCGACCUUGAAAUACCACCCUUUAAUGUUUGAUGUUCUAACGUGGACCCGUGAUCCGGGUUGCGGACAGUGUCUGGUGGGUAGUUUGACUGGGGCGGUCUCCUCCUAAAGAGUAACGGAGGAGCACGAAGGUUGGCUAAUCCUGGUCGGACAUCAGGAGGUUAGUGCAAUGGCAUAAGCCAGCUUGACUGCGAGCGUGACGGCGCGAGCAGGUGCGAAAGCAGGUCAUAGUGAUCCGGUGGUUCUGAAUGGAAGGGCCAUCGCUCAACGGAUAAAAGGUACUCCGGGGAUAACAGGCUGAUACCGCCCAAGAGUUCAUAUCGACGGCGGUGUUUGGCACCUCGAUGUCGGCUCAUCACAUCCUGGGGCUGAAGUAGGUCCCAAGGGUAUGGCUGUUCGCCAUUUAAAGUGGUACGCGAGCUGGGUUUAGAACGUCGUGAGACAGUUCGGUCCCUAUCUGCCGUGGGCGCUGGAGAACUGAGGGGGGCUGCUCCUAGUACGAGAGGACCGGAGUGGACGCAUCACUGGUGUUCGGGUUGUCAUGCCAAUGGCACUGCCCGGUAGCUAAAUGCGGAAGAGAUAAGUGCUGAAAGCAUCUAAGCACGAAACUUGCC